Molecule: long non-coding RNA, 2585 nt
Organism: Megalobrama amblycephala (Wuchang bream)
Lineage: Eukaryota; Metazoa; Chordata; Actinopteri; Cypriniformes; Xenocyprididae
Exons: 3
Source: RefSeq, a predicted model, not a curated record
CGUGACACCUGAACUAAGGGGCGCGCGAUGAACACGUGCUGCUGCUCGCGGCAUUAUUUGGAAUUCGUUGAGGAAAAACACAAAAGCUACUCUGUGAAAUGUAAAUGUCCUCUAAAAUAACUUUAUGCCACUGCGCAAUUUAUCGGAGUAGGAGACUCAUCUCUGGUCUGAAAAAAAAACGUCGUUGCGCUUAUGGAGCUGUUUCCCUGGUAACGGAUGUACACAAAGCAGCGCGGCAUAAAUCUUGUAUUCUGGAAAACACUACAUGCCAUUUAUCUGCAACAAUGAUGUGCCUUUACAAUGGUAAGCAGUAGCUUGAGCUGCAGUUAUUAGUCAUUAAUUCAUACUUGAGCAAUCUACUUUUAUGCAUAGACUUGAACAGUAGUUCACUUUAAAACUUGUUUAACAAGAGAUCUGUCUAUUCAUUAAGGUAAAUCUCUAUAAAAAUACAUGAAUAUAGCAAAAAUGGUUGACUUGUUAAAAUUAAUUUCACCAAAAAACAUUUUUCUGAAAACAAUCUCUAAAUCAUGUUCUUUGUUUCUUUCUCUGAAUGACUCUUUUCAUCUACAUGCCACGAGUUGAGUCGUAUAUGGCAAAUACGGUGAGAAAUAUUAUGUGAAAACAUACAAAGCUGUAAAGUGCAGCAUGAAUCUUUUAUUUUGAAAAUCACUGCAUUUCUGAACAUGUUCUUCUUUUUAUUUCUUUGCAUGACUCUUUCCAACUACAUGCCAUGGUUUGAUCUGCCACAAUGAUGUGGUAAGAAAUCAUCUUACACUAACAAAAGGUCAGUCCAGUCUGAAUGUUUUGUACAUGAAUGCAUCAUAAAACUGUAUUAACUUGUUUUAAAGUCCAAAAUCGCUGUAUUUCUUAACAUGUUAUUCUGAUUUUUUUUCCAACUACAUGACCUGGUUUGAGUCGUCACAAUGGCAAACAUGGUAAGAAAUGUCAUGUGACAACAUCAAAGACCUACUUGUGUUAAAGUGCAGCAUGAAUAUUUUAUUCUGGAAAAAUCACUGUAUAUCUGAACAUGUUCUCUUUUUCUUUCUCUGAAUGACUCUUUUCAUCAUCUACAUGCCACGGUUUGAGUCGUCACAUUGGUAAAUACGGUAAGAAAUAUGUAUAAAAAAUAAAUAAAUACGAAACUGUAUUAACUUGUGUUAAAGUGCAGCAUGCAUCUUUUAUUGCAUUUCUGAACAUGUUCUUCUACCUUUUUCUUUGCAUGACUCUUUCCAACUACAUGCCAUGGUUUGAUCUGCCACAAUGAUGUGGUAAGAAAUCAUCUUACACCAGCUAAAAGGUCAGUCCAGUCUGAAUGUUUUGUACAUGAAUACAUCUUAAAACUAUAUUAACUUGUCAAAAUCACUGAAAAUUGUGAACAUUGUCAUGUCUGUUUCUUUCUUUUCAUUCCUCUUUCUAUAUACAUGCUACGGUUCGAGCCGUCACAAUGUUAAAUGUGGUAAGAAAGAUAAUGUGACAGCAAAAAAAAAGGCAAGUACAAUCUGAAUGUUUUGCAAAUGAAUACAUCAAAAAUACUGUAAUAACCUGUUAAAAUGCAAAAUCACUGCAUUUCUAAACAUGUUUUUCUAUUUUCCUUACUUUGCAUUAAUUCUUCUGUCCACACACCAUGACUUAAGCUGCAACAAUGGUAAAUAUGGUAAGAAAGAUCAUGUGAUGACAAUAAAAAGCAAGUUAAAUGUGAAUGUUUUGUAUAUGAAUACAUCAAAAACCUGUAUUAACUUGUGUUAAAGUGCAGCAUUUUUUUUUUUUUUUUCCUGGAAAAUCACUUUCUGAACAUUUUUUUUUUCUUUCUUUUUUUGCAUAACUGUUUCCAUCUACAUGCCAUGGUUCGAGUCAUCGCAAUGGUAAAUGUAGGAAGAAACAUCACGUCACAGAUAAGUCAAAUCUUUCACCAUUUACGUUUGAUUUAAAAAAUACAUUUAAUACUUUACCUUGCGCUAUCAACACGCAACUGAUACUAUUGUUUUGACCAGAGUAUCAACAUGGCAGCCGAUGAAGCCAGUUGAGGAAAUGUUCUCCAGUUCCGGCUCCAGAGGAGGAGUUCCACAAUGACCAGAGCCAGAACAGAGGGUUUGAGGGUUUAUCUUCAUCCAUGUGAUGGCCCAUUUAACCUCAUGCUCACCAGCGAGCAUCAGCGCAAAUGGGACCACCAAUUGCUUUCAUCUUUUUUGAUGUUUUCUUUUUCAAAAAUAUCCUUGGAAAGAAGGCUGAUGUGCAUUGUCAUAAUUACUAUUUUAUUUAUAUAAAUGGGCAAAAUCUUCCCCCUCCAUUUUUUUUUUACAUGUACACUCUUUGUAUUAUCUACUGUAUAAAUAAAUGCAUAUAUUUUACAUAUACAGGUCACUACUGUGUUUGCAGUCACUAAACCCAUGCUGAACAAAUAUCGAGAGAGAAUAAAAAAGACCUGAAAUAUUUUGAAAUAUAUCAAAUAUAACAAAGUUUUGGAACUCACUAUGGUUUACCCCCACAUAUGAUAUAUCUUUCUGUGCACAACUCCAUCUACAUGCCACAGUUUGAGCCGUAUUAAAGGAUUAGUUCACUUUAAAAUGAAAAUUACCCCAAGCUUU